This 482-nucleotide ribosomal RNA is filed under the name uncultured bacterium. RNAcentral's name for it is "bacterial SSU rRNA". It matches the Rfam family "Bacterial small subunit ribosomal RNA", at positions 30 to 506 of the family's 1533-position model. The record is from RNAcentral.
UUGAACGCUGGCGGAAUGCUUUACACAUGCAAGUCGAACGGCAGCACGGGGGCAACCCUGGUGGCGAGUGGCGAACGGGUGAGUAAUACAUUGGAACGUGCCCAAUCGUGGGGGAUAACGCAGCGAAAGUUGUGCUAAUACCGCAUACGAUCUACGGAUGAAAGCGGGGGAUCGCAAGACCUCGCGCGAGUGGAGCGGCCGAUGGCAGAUUAGGUAGUUGGUGGGGUAAAGGCUCACCAAGCCAACGAUCUGUAGCUGGUCUAAGAGGACGACCAGCCACACUGGGACUGAGACACGGCCCAGACUCCUACGGGAGGCAGCAGUGGGGAAUUUUGGACAAUGGGCGAAAGCCUGAUCCAGCCAUUCCGCGUGCAGGAUGAAGGCCUUCGGGUUGUAAACUUCUUUUGUACGGAACGAAAAGGCUCUGGUUAAUACCUGGGGCUCAUGACGGUACCGUAAGAAUAAGCACCGGCUAACUACGU